AUGCCCUCAGACUUGCUACACCUGGGAUGGUUCCCAAGUACUGCUCACUCUACCUGCAUCUGCAUUUUUUUCCCCAUGCAUAGCAGAGACUUUCGUACUGUGCAUAAGGAAGCGUAUGAUGGCUGGGAUCCAAGCAACUACCAGCAGCCAAAACGUGUGCACCUGCAGGCUGAGCUUACCAACAUGCUCAGGAACAGCAACGCCAAGUUUGAUGACUCCACAGUGACCAAGGUUUCUUUCCCACCACCCUUCAAAACAAUAAAAGUAGCCACAGGCAAGCAGCCCACCAGCACAUUCAGAGUUCCUGAAGCGAAGUUUCAAGACAUCACCACCAACAAGCAAUUCUUCCAGAACUGGGGAGCCCAACCCCGCAUCCGCCACAGAGAUGUCCAUGAUGGGACCUACCUUAGGCCUGUCCUGUCAUUUGAAAGCCAAACCACCACCAAGAGCACUUUCAUGCCUACAACUGCCAAGAAGGUGAAGUUAUUCAAACCCAAAAGCAGCAGCAUCAAGAUUGGGGGAAACCAUGACUUCUCCACUGUGUACAGGGAGGUAUACAGGCCGCUUCAGUUGCCCAGCUGUUCACUGCACACUCAUCUGAUCCAAAAUCAGGACACAAAAACGAACAGAGAGACUACAACUCAACUCACCUGA
This 654-nucleotide long non-coding RNA is filed under the name Phascolarctos cinereus (koala). RNAcentral describes it as "lncRNA (ENSPCIG00000000207.2)". The record is from RNAcentral. Lineage: Eukaryota; Metazoa; Chordata; Mammalia; Diprotodontia; Phascolarctidae.